CCGGCGACCGGCGCACGGGUGAGUAACACGUAUGCGACCUGCCCGUAGCAGGGGGAUAAGCGGAAGAAAUUCCGUCUAAUACCGCGUAAUAUCUUUCGGGGGCAUCCCUGAGGGAUUAAAGGAAGUGAUUCCGGCUACGGAUGGGCAUGCGGCGCAUUAGCUAGUCGGCGGGGUAACGGCCCACCGAGGCGACGAUGCGUAGGGGUUCUGAGAGGAAGGUCCCCCACACUGGUACUGAGACACGGACCAGACUCCUACGGGAGGCAGCAG
This 270-nucleotide ribosomal RNA is filed under the name uncultured bacterium. Its description in RNAcentral is "partial 16S ribosomal RNA". It matches the Rfam family "Bacterial small subunit ribosomal RNA", at positions 88 to 354 of the family's 1533-position model. The record is from RNAcentral.